Podarcis lilfordi (Lilford's wall lizard) is the source of this 94-nucleotide non-coding RNA. The record is from the annotation of a GenBank genome assembly. Lineage: Eukaryota; Metazoa; Chordata; Lepidosauria; Squamata; Lacertidae.
CUCUAGAUGUUGCUGAACUACAACUCCCAUCAGCCCCAGGAAACGUGGCUUAUGGCUUGGGAUGAUGGGAGUUGCAGUUCAGCAAUAUCUGGAG